GGGGGCUCUAUACAUGCAAGUCGAGCGGACAGAAGGGAGCUUGCUCCCGGAUGUUAGCGGCGGACGGGUGAGUAACACGUGGGUAACCUGCCUGUAAGACUGGGAUAACUCCGGGAAACCGGAGCUAAUACCGGAUAGUUCCUUGAACCGCAUGGUUCAAGGAUGAAAGACGGUUUCGGCUGUCACUUACAGAUGGACCCGCGGCGCAUUAGCUAGUUGGUGGGGUAAUGGCUCACCAAGGCGACGAUGCGUAGCCGACCUGAGAGGGUGAUCGGCCACACUGGGACUGAGACACGGCCCAGACUCCUACGGGAGGCAGCAGUAGGGAAUCUUCCGCAAUGGACGAAAGUCUGACGGAGCAACGCCGCGUGAGUGAUGAAGGUUUUCGGAUCGUAAAGCUCUGUUGUUAGGGAAGAACAAGUGCGAGAGUAACUGCUCGCACCUUGACGGUACCUAACCAGAAAGCCACGGCUAACUACGUGCCAGCAGCCGCGGUAAUACGUAGGUGGCAAGCGUUGUCCGGAAUUAUUGGGCGUAAAGGGCUCGCAGGCGGUUUCUUAAGUCUGAUGUGAAAGCCCCCGGCUCAACCGGGGAGGGUCAUUGGAAACUGGGAAACUUGAGUGCAGAAGAGGAGAGUGGAAUUCCACGUGUAGCGGUGAAAUGCGUAGAGAUGUGGAGGAACACCAGUGGCGAAGGCGACUCUCUGGUCUGUAACUGACGCUGAGGAGCGAAAGCUGACCC
RNAcentral lists this ribosomal RNA (741 nucleotides) under Bacillus pumilus. RNAcentral describes it as "bacterial SSU rRNA". It matches the Rfam family "Bacterial small subunit ribosomal RNA", at positions 42 to 766 of the family's 1533-position model. The record is from RNAcentral. Lineage: Bacteria; Bacillati; Bacillota; Bacilli; Caryophanales; Bacillaceae.